CUUUCUUUGCUGGCGACCGGCGCACGGGUGAGUAACACGUAUCCAACCUGCCCUUUACUCGGGGAUAGCCUUUCGAAAGAAAGAUUAAUACCCGAUAGCAUAAUGAUUCCGCACGGUUUCAUUAUUAAAGGAUUCCGGUAAAGGAUGGGGAUGCGUUCCAUUAGGUUGUUGGUGAGGUAACGGCUCACCAAGCCUUCGAUGGAUAGGGGUUCUGAGAGGAAGGUCCCCCACAUUGGAACUGAGACACGGUCCAA
Molecule: ribosomal RNA, 254 nt
Filed under: uncultured bacterium
Lineage: Bacteria
Description: partial 16S ribosomal RNA
Rfam family: Bacterial small subunit ribosomal RNA
Source: RNAcentral